UACAGAGGUCUCAAGCGUUGUUCGGAUUCAUUGGGCGUAAAGGGCGCGUAGGCGGCUUUAUAAGUCGGGGGUGAAAGCCUGUGGCUCAACCACAGAAUUGCCUUCGAUACUGUAUGGCUUGAGACCGGAAGAGGUAAGUGGAACUGCGAGUGUAGAGGUGAAAUUCGUAGAUAUUCGCAAGAACACCAGUGGCGAAGGCGGCUUACUGGUCCGGUUCUGACGCUGAGGCGCGAAAGCGUGGGGAGCAAACAGG
RNAcentral lists this ribosomal RNA (253 nucleotides) under uncultured bacterium. RNAcentral's name for it is "partial 16S ribosomal RNA". It matches the Rfam family "Bacterial small subunit ribosomal RNA", at positions 524 to 776 of the family's 1533-position model. The record is from RNAcentral.